AGAUAAGGGAUAGGUAAGGAAAUAAAUGAUAUGAAUGACAAUAAUACUGACGCAUGGAGGGCCAUGCUAACUGGGGAGUAUUUUUAUUUAUUAAAGAGAUAAAGAUAUGAAUAGUCAAGGACAAAGAAGUCAAGGACAAACCAAUCCGAGCUAGUAAUAGUGAUAAAGGACCUAUGUGGAACGAAGCAUCGAAGUAACAUAGGGUAUAACCAAUAGGGUCAAUAGUAGUACCGGUGAGGGAAACUAUUGAGUGCACUAGAGUAAUGCCUUGAGGCAUGAAUAUAGCAGUUACUACUGCUAAGGCAAACUAUACCAGUUAAGUAAGUGAGUACUGCGAAGGAAAGGUCUUUUAUUUAUAUCUUUCUUAUAUUAAUUUAAUUAAUUUAAUAUAGAUAAUAUAUAAAUAUUGAAAUGCGUUAGUAGAGAGCAGCUAUAGUAUAGCGUACCUCUUGUAUAAUGGGUCAGUGAGUUAACUUUUAUGGCGAAGCAUUAGCUUUAUGUAAUUAGUUAUAUAUGAAUCCUAUAAUUAUUAUUAUAGGUUAUAAUAUAUUUAGUCAUAAUAGUUAGACCCGAAGGCAUAUGAUCUAGGCAUGACUAAGUUUAUAUAAUUAUAUAUUAAAUUAUAUAAGACUGAAUACGUAGACGUUGCAAUGUCUUGUAGAGAGUUGUGUCUAGUAGUGAAAGGCAAAUCUGAUAUGCUGAUAGCUGGUUAUCUGCGAAAUAUAUGUUAGUAUAGCCCUUAUAAUUAUCAACUUAGGUAAAGCACUGAAAAUGACAUCUUUUUCUCUUUUAAUAGAAGAUAAAUAGAUUUAGGGGGAUUGUUUGAUCUACCCUACAUUUUUAACCUCUGAAACUAGUGUUAAUAUAAUAUGAGGAGUCAGUCUUAUUGCGAUAAGGUAGUAGGACUAAAGGGGAAUAACCCAGACCAUUAUGUGAAGGUCCCUUACAAUUACUGAGUGGAUCAAAUCCUAUACAUAUUUAUAUGGUACCUUGAGUAGCCCAUCAGUCGGUGGUGUUGAUAGUACACACCCGUUAACAAUCGUGUAACAACGUACUGAUUAAAGCCUAGUUAAUUAUAUAUAUAUAUAUAUUAAUUAUAUAUAUAUAUUUAUCUCUCAAGGAAUAGGAGUAGAUAUCCGGGCCUAAGUAAUUGACCGAACAAUGGAUUAAUAAAUGAAUAAUAAUUUAUUAAUGGUAGCAGAUUAUACUAUAAUAAUAAUAGUAAAAAUAAUGCUGACUUGAGUAAUGAUAGAGAGGAUAAGCCUCUCCCUACAAAAUACAAGGUGUCACUGUCAACUAACGGUCUCUAACAUUAAAUCCUAAUGGUUUUAUUGGAUGAGUAAUAUUACAUGAAAUUAUAUUAACCGUACCGCAGACCGACCCAGGUGUAUAAUAAUUAAUUAUAAUUAUAAUAAUAUAUAUAUAUAAUUAAUAAGUAGGAACGGGUAAACUGUAUUGAAUGAACUCGGCAAAUAGGAACAAGGUUCUAAGCAGCGCGACUGUUCACCACAAACACAACCUAUUGCGAAUGGGAAACCAUAAGUAUAAUAGGUGAUGCCUGCCCAGUGCAAGCACGAUAAGUCUUUAACAAGGUUAAGGGGCUUGUCAACGGCGGCCUUACCAUGAGGGUCCGAAGGUAGCGUAAUACCUAGGCACUUAAUUGGUGUCCCGCAUGAAUGAUCACACGACGCUGCAACUGUAUCCAAUGCAGACCCGAUGAACUAGUAAUAGCAGUGAAGAUACUGCUAUGCCAUAGUAGGACAAGAAGACCCUAUGCAGCUUAACUAUACCCAUUAAUUGCUUAUCAUCAUAAUAUCAGGUUUAUCUUAUAUUUUUCUUUUAUAAGCUAAAAGUUUUUAUUUACUUUACCAUUUAUGGGGGUUAGUUCCGAUGGGGCGUCGGCAUCACACAACGCAACUGAUGCGUCUAAUUAACUUAAGGUUAAUAACCUUUUCUUUUAUCUUUACAUAAUUCAUUUAUUCUUUAUUUGUUUUAUGUAUUUAUUAGUUUAUUUAUGUAUGGUUUUACUAGCUGGCAACUAGUUUCUUUGAAUAAUAGCUUAACCAUGCAUUGACUACAACACUUACUAGUGAAGUAGGCACUUACGUGUAGUAUAGUGAACAGGCAGCAUCAUUUAGUUUCUGAGUGUCGAUAACGGAUCACAGUUACGCUAGGGAUAACAGGGUAAUCCCGCUAGAGAGUUGAUAUCGCCAGCGGGGUUUGCCACCUCGAUGUCGUCUAGGCUCAUCCUCCCGGUCGUAGCCGCUGGGAAGGGUAUGACUGUUCGUCAUGUAACGAGCCACUUGAGAUGGGUUAAAUACGACGUGAGUCAGUAUGGAUUAUAUCCUCUAUGGCCCCUACAUAUACAUUGAUACCUCGUGUACGAAAGGAUAGAGGUGUACUACCCUAUGGUAUAUGGUUAUAUAUAUCUUUUAUUAUAUAUACCCUUAAGCUAAGGUAGACUUGAUUAGUACUGAAUGCAUCUAGGUACGAAGCAGCAUGUAACAGUAGUUUGAAUCGUUAUAUACUAUAACGUAUUGGCUAUAUAUAUAUCUAUUAUUAAUAAUAGAUAUUAUCCUUAAAUUGAGGAUAAGCUCAUUUUUCAUAGUCAUUCAUAUCUUAAUCAUAUAUUAUUAUAAUAAAUAUAAUAGUAAAUGAUAAAA
RNAcentral lists this ribosomal RNA (2663 nucleotides) under Insectozyma corydali. RNAcentral's name for it is "Candida corydali large subunit ribosomal RNA". It matches the Rfam family "Bacterial large subunit ribosomal RNA". The record is from RNAcentral. Lineage: Eukaryota; Fungi; Ascomycota; Pichiomycetes; Serinales; Debaryomycetaceae.